Molecule: unclassified non-coding RNA, 348 nt
Filed under: soil metagenome
Description: partial contains 5.8S ribosomal RNA, internal transcribed spacer 2, and large subunit ribosomal RNA
Rfam family: 5.8S ribosomal RNA (bases 1-120)
Source: RNAcentral
GAUGAAGAACGUAGCGAAAUGCGAUAAGUAAUGUGAAUUGCAGAAUUCAGUGAAUCAUCGAAUCUUUGAACGCACAUUGCGCCCGCCAGUAUUCUGGUGGGCAUGCCUGUCUGAGCGUCAUUUCAACCCUCAUGCCCCUAGGGCGUGGUGUUGGGGAUCGGCCAAAGCCCGCGAGGGACGGCCGGCCCCUAAAUCUAGUGGCGGACCCGUCGUGGCCUCCUCUGCGAAGUAGUGAUAUUCCGCAUCGGAGAGCGAUGAGCCCCUGCCGUUAAACCCCCAACUUUCCAAGGUUGACCUCAGAUCAGGUAGGAAUACCCGCUGAACUUAAGCAUAUCAAUAAGCGGAGGA